Molecule: ribosomal RNA, 113 nt
Filed under: Sus scrofa (pig)
Lineage: Eukaryota; Metazoa; Chordata; Mammalia; Artiodactyla; Suidae
Source: RNAcentral
GGUCUGGGCCAUAGCAUUCUGAAGGUACCUAAUCUUGUCUAAUCUUGGAAGCUAUGUAGGGUCAGGCCUGGUUAGUACUUGGGUGGGAGAAUGCAUACUGGGCAUCAUGAAUA